CCGGGAGAGGCUCGGGCCGCGGCGGCUGGCGGGGGUCCCGGGCGCCCCAGCCGGGAACGUACCGCUCUGGCGGCGGCGGGCGGAAAGUACAGAUAAAAAUGGGGAAAAGGUGUCAUUCCAGACUGACAGUGCUGCCUAAUGCCACAACAGCCACGCAGAUGGAAGCAUUUCUAUGCGUGAAGGACUGAAUGAAGUAAGAAGUGAUUGCCGUGUGAAGGCAGCAGGAAAAAGAGGAAUUGCUAAGGAAUUGGAAGAAAUAACAAGGUUUCACAACAUGAGGCUGUGA
Molecule: long non-coding RNA, 286 nt
Organism: Melozone crissalis (California towhee)
Lineage: Eukaryota; Metazoa; Chordata; Aves; Passeriformes; Passerellidae
Exons: 3
Source: RefSeq, a predicted model, not a curated record